RNAcentral lists this unclassified non-coding RNA (597 nucleotides) under Hevea brasiliensis (rubber tree). Lineage: Eukaryota; Viridiplantae; Streptophyta; Magnoliopsida; Malpighiales; Euphorbiaceae. The record is from RNAcentral.
AAAAAAUUACGCGAUAGAGCAAAUUAAGUCCUUCUAUUUACCUGAAAUAGCGAUAGUUUUACAAUAUUACGAUAUGUAGGAAUCACAAGAACGAUUCUCUAUCAUCUUCUUGUCGACCUUCACAGAAGCUCCUCAAAUGGCGUUAUGUCAAGGCUUAAAAUCUAAUUCCGUGUACCCAAUCUUCUCAUCUGUGAAGAUGCAAUUCUUUCCUCUGUUGCUUCAAGAACGGAAGUGAAGAAGAAGAAGAACAGGGAGAUAAUCCUUCUCCGCUCUGCUUUGCUAGUUGUCUUUCCAUCACGAGCUCUCUUCUUACUUCAGACUCCACCAUGCGUCUACGAGCAAUCUCUUCUGCAAUAAUCUUCUCUCUGACACGCUCCUUCUCAAUCUCUCUUACGAUUGCCUCACGCAUAUCAGCAGGUUGGUGUUGGCUAUGAUCAGGCGAUGCUAUGUAGCCAGCUCGAAUGGCUUGUUGAGUGAAGUAACCUUCAUCUGCAGCUUUAUACUUGUAAUGAUCCAUCAAAAUUCACAUAAAAAAAACUUCGAAUUUCACAUUUGCCGAAACAAAAAUCGAUAGUGAAAGAGAGAGCAAAUAUGUUA